This 552-nucleotide ribosomal RNA is filed under the name Aspergillus niger. RNAcentral's name for it is "eukaryotic LSU rRNA". It matches the Rfam family "Eukaryotic large subunit ribosomal RNA", at positions 87 to 655 of the family's 3401-position model. The record is from RNAcentral. Lineage: Eukaryota; Fungi; Ascomycota; Eurotiomycetes; Eurotiales; Aspergillaceae.
CGGCGAGUGAGCGGCAAGAGCUCAAAUUUGAAAGCUGGCUCCUUCGGAGUCCGCAUUGUAAUUUGCAGAGGAUGCUUUGGGUGCGGCCCCCGUCUAAGUGCCCUGGAACGGGCCGUCAGAGAGGGUGAGAAUCCCGUCUUGGGCGGGGUGUCCGUGCCCGUGUAAAGCUCCUUCGACGAGUCGAGUUGUUUGGGAAUGCAGCUCUAAAUGGGUGGUAAAUUUCAUCUAAAGCUAAAUACUGGCCGGAGACCGAUAGCGCACAAGUAGAGUGAUCGAAAGAUGAAAAGCACUUUGAAAAGAGAGUUAAACAGCACGUGAAAUUGUUGAAAGGGAAGCGCUUGCGACCAGACUCGCCCGCGGGGUUCAGCCGGCAUUCGUGCCGGUGUACUUCCCCGUGGGCGGGCCAGCGUCGGUUUGGGCGGCCGGUCAAAGGCCCCUGGAAUGUAGUGCCCUCCGGGGCACCUUAUAGCCAGGGGUGCAAUGCGGCCAGCCUGGACCGAGGAACGCGCUUCGGCACGGACGCUGGCAUAAUGGUCGUAAACGACCCGUCUU